RNAcentral lists this transfer-messenger RNA (353 nucleotides) under Elusimicrobia. Its description in RNAcentral is "F11 sp002176905 Standard tmRNA". It matches the Rfam family "transfer-messenger RNA". From Rfam's summary of the family: Bacterial tmRNA, also known as 10Sa RNA or SsrA, is named for its dual tRNA and mRNA-like properties. Its role is to liberate the mRNA from a stalled ribosome. To accomplish this part of the tmRNA is used as a reading frame that ends in a translation stop signal. The record is from RNAcentral. Lineage: Bacteria; Pseudomonadati; Elusimicrobiota. RNAcentral also lists the same sequence under 1 other name.
GGGGGUGAAAAGGUUUCGACGGUGGAUGAGUGAGUGAUUGUCGCAGGUCGGAGUUGGUCGGCAGGCUCCGUUACAAAGCUGACCAAAUUGAUAACUGCUAACACUGAGUUAGCACUCGCAGCCUAAACCGCUGCGGCGUUCUGCCCAAGAUGCCCGGUAUUGGGGCCAGAACGUCAUCACCGGGAUCGGUUGUUAAGGCGCGUCUCGUCUUUACCAACUUAAACACAACGAGGCUGGCAGAACUGCGGUUCUGUCUAGUGACAACGGUUCUGCGAGAUCAAGACUAGGCUAAACCUGUAGUGGCACCACAAUCUCUUCAUCGGACGCGGGUUCGACUCCCGCCACCUCCACCA